Molecule: ribosomal RNA, 329 nt
Filed under: uncultured eukaryote
Lineage: Eukaryota
Description: partial 18S ribosomal RNA
Rfam family: Eukaryotic small subunit ribosomal RNA
Source: RNAcentral
CCCUUAGAUGUUCUGGGCCGCACGCGCGCUACACUGAUGCAUUCAACGAGUCUAAAACCUGCUCUGAUAGGGGUGGGUAAUCUUUUGACUGUGCAUCGUGAUUGGGAUAGAUGAUUGAAAUUUUUCAUCUUCAACGAGGAAUGCCUAGUAAACGCAAGUCAUCAGCUUGCAUUGAUUACGUCCCUGCCCUUUGUACACACCGCCCGUCGCUCCUACCGAUUGAAUGAUCCGAUGAAUAUCAUGGAUUGAGGAUGCAAGUAGGUUCGCCUAUCUUCAUCUUCGAGAAGUGAAGUAAAUCUUAUCAUUUAGAGGAAGGAGAAGUCGUAACA